CACCACAACACUAUCCAGCCUCAAACGGUGCACACGUACCAUUCAAUGACACUGCUUGGCCUUUAUUCCUUGAGCAAAAGUGAUCCAGGAGCAUGUUAAGUAAGAGUAAAGAUUAGGAGCAGGGAGACGUUUCUGCACAGAAGAAUGUUGUCGAAGGCACAAUUUGGGCGAAACGAAUCUGUGUGACAAUUUGAACAACGACGAAAACGUCAGAUGUAUGAUUAAGGGAGAGAAGACGGAGAGUUCGUUGAGCGAUGCAGGUUAAACAACAGAUUGCAAACUGCACGAAACGGCCCGUACCGCUCGUUGGCUUGCGCGAGGCCGGCCCGGGUAGAGAUGGUGGUGGAGAAAAUGCAGUAGAGUACUUUCGCAAACAAGGAAGAAUCUCCUCUCAUGAUGCAUUGGAAAUCAUCUGGUAUCAUGCCGCCAACAGAAAGGCACAAAUGGAAGAGGCACUGAAAAGUGGUGCACAUAUGAUUGAAGCCGAUAUUCUUAUUGGGAGCCAUGGAUCGCAUAGAGGAGAGCCAAUCAUGGCACAUCCUCCUGAAACUGACAGUGACAACACAUUGUAUAAUUGGCUGAGUGAAGUACGGCAAUCAGACAAGGGAAUCAAGUUGGAUUUUAAGAGUUUGUCAACUGUGGAACCUGCUAUGAAAAUGUUGGUAUCAAUGAAGGAUCUUCUCACACGACCGGUUUGGAUCAAUGCAGAUAUUCUUCCCGGACCAAAUGAAAGCAAAGAUUUUUUAUGCAUAGUAACUUCAUACUUGCCACAUGUAACGCUGUCUCUUGGUUGGAAAACUGAUGAGUUGGUUAACCAAACAAGUCUUGUUUACACCUGGGAGAUGGUGAAGGAGAUGGAGCAAAUUUGUCAGCCACUCAGUCAACCAGUAACGUUCCCAGUUAGAGCAGCAUUGGUUCGUCCAUCCUGGCCACAGCUGUCUUGGUUGCUGGAGCAAUCAGAAAGGAACUUGCUGUGUGGAAAUUGGCUGCCACUUUUUUUUAGAAACAACAAUUCUUUGGCUGUAAAAUACUUUGUGGAAUAUCUUCAGGUAGUGCAAGAUGCUGCCUGGUUUGCUGUGUUCUUCCAGCCUCCUGUUUGUCUACUACCUUCCUGCAAUUUGUUCGUAGGCCCUGAAAGCUGACGUGACAAAAGAAAAUCUGAAAUGUGACCCCUGGGCUGCAGGCAACAGAUUGGUGAAUGAACCUCCAGUAGCAUUACACCCGCACAAUCCUACCGUAACAGUUUUACUCUGAUCAAUCAGUGAGACGAUUAAAGGAUUUUAAAAAUUCACCCCCACAAACCAAAUCUGGAAAAUGCUUCCCAGUCAUUUUUUUUCAGAGCAACAGUCUUGCUCAGCCGCAUAUUGUCUAAAGUCCAAAGGGUCAAUCUGUUCUCAAAAUGUCCCUCCGCCAAUUUCUCUCCCUCCCGUGAGAUUUUACUGUCAAUCGCCACUCUCGAGUGUUUUACUGAAUUGAAUGCAGUUGGCCCACUGGCACCGCACUGGGUAUUAAAUGUUAAAUAUUUAUUCGCUACCCUUCACACUGAUAGGCUGAACUAGGUUUUUACCUGCAAAGGAAGGGUCGUCCUUGUAAUAUUUCUCUUUGUAUUCUGUUACCAAAUGAUACAGUCUCGAGACAGUUUCAUCAUGAGAAAGGCACCUCCAGCCGCCAUUGACAUACUCGUCGAUGGAGAAUGUAGUCAAACUCGGGUCAUUCGGAGUAACCCGGAGUUUAUCUUUCCGCAAGGGGAUCAGUACAUCAAGUUCAUCGACAGCCUCGGCUUUCGUUCCGUCAGCAAUACUUCCCACUUGGAUGAAGCAAUUCUCAAACAAAUCGUCUCGACUGUGAAUAAACUCCAGAAGCUGUUCCAGCAUCAACUGUAAAGUGCGCUUCUUACCCUUUUCGCCUGGCUCCUUUUUCACAAAACUUGUGUAAUACUUUUGCAGAGGCUCUUCCAGAACCUCGCUCAUUGCAAGGAUUUGCAAUUCCAUUUUAACUUAGUUCGUUUUGCAGGAAUUCUGGACUUUUAGCUGCAGUUUUGUUUGCAUCUAAAACACUUGAGGCGAACCGAGGAUUGCUGGAAGGAAGUGUUUCGGUUUCCUGUCUAAGCAGCCGCUGCUGAUCAAGUAUUUCCCACUGUACAAUGCUUAAUAAGGUCAUAACAAAGUGGAAUCUAAUGGGGAAUUCAGGAGAAAGCUGUUUACACAAAGACUGAUCAAAAUGUGAAAUUAACUGGCGGGGUUAUACCUGGGGUCGUAAAUGGAGAAGCUAAAUGAAGGUUUUGAUGGAGAAAUAAUAGAAGAAUAGGCUGAUAGAUUUAGAGAAAGAGUUUAGAGGUUACUGUGGAACAGAAAGUUCCAGACUGAACCAACAGGGCCAAAUGGCUACUUUCUCAGGCAUCCAGCAGUACCUUGAGGGCUUCCGUGUCUUCAGAAUUUACUGAAUAAAUCAAAGCAGAACCACCUGAGUGAUCUUCCAAACUCGGGUCAGCACCAUUUUCGAGUAGCAAAGCUAUGACCUCUGCACCAGCCUGCUCUAUGCAUGCGUGCAUUAAAGCAGUCUUUCCUGAUUUGUCCUGAAUAUUAGGAUCUGCCUGGUUUUCCAAGAGAUAUUUUACCAUUUUCACUUUGCUGAUGCUUUGUUGGUCCACAUGUUUUGUCUUGCAAGCAAUCAUUAGAGGGGUUUCACCUUGUUCAUUGCUUUCAUUGAUGUAAGCCCCGCCUUCAAGCAGUAACCUGGUGAGGCGCAGUCUACUCAGGUAGACCGCUUUCAACAGAGAGUUACCAUCUGUUCGUACUUCCAUGGCGGUGUCCAUCUCCCAAGGAUCUCUGACUGUCUAGGCGUUCUUGAAAUUUGACACUCAGCCAGGCUGAAAUGAUAAAGUAAAUGUAUUUCAACAACUUAGAUUAUGUGUGACAAACAA
RNA transcript from Stegostoma tigrinum, 2923 nucleotides. It is a transcript of the gene named family with sequence similarity 151 member B, with no coding region annotated. The transcript is spliced from 8 exons. The record is from RefSeq and is a predicted model, not a curated record. NCBI's taxonomy places the organism in Eukaryota, Metazoa, Chordata, Chondrichthyes, Orectolobiformes, Stegostomatidae.